RNAcentral lists this ribosomal RNA (1268 nucleotides) under Saltusaphis sp. JC-2016. Its description in RNAcentral is "16S large subunit ribosomal RNA". Lineage: Eukaryota; Metazoa; Arthropoda; Insecta; Hemiptera; Aphididae. The record is from RNAcentral.
AAGUUAUUAAUAAUUAAUUUUUUAAUUUUAUAUUUAAUAUUUUAUAAAAGUAAUUUAUUUAUUUAUUGUUUAAGUAUUUAUUAAGAAUAAAUUUUUAGAUUUAUAGUUUAAUAGUAUUGUAAAAGAAUUAAUUUAAUUUAUAAAAAGAAUUUAUUUUAGUACCUUUUGUAUCAGGGUUAAUUAAAAUAUUAAAUUUAUUAUUUAAUUCUCAAAAUUUAUAGAGUUAAUUUUAUUAUUAAUUUACUGUGUUAUAAGUAUUUAUAAAAUAAUAUUAGUUUUGAAAUUUAAUUCGUUAUAAUAUAUUUAGUUGUUUAAGAUUUAAAUUUAAUUUAAAAUUUUAAAAGUUAUUAUUAAUUUUUUUAAUAUAAAUUUUAAAUUUAAAUAAUUUUAGGGAUAAGCUUGAAAUUUUAAUAUAAUAAUUUUUAUUAAAAAUAAUUUAUAGGAAUAGAAAUUUUUAUUUAAGUUUGUAAAAAUUUGUUAUUUUAAUAGUUAAAUUUAUUAAAUUGAUUUAUUUUUAAUAUUAAAUUUUAUAAAUUAAUAAUUUAUUUAUAGUAAUAAUGAUUAAAUUAGUAUAAUAUAUAUUUAUAAAUUAUGAAUUCGGCAAAUUUUAUUUUCAUCUGUUUAUCAAAAACAUUGUAUUAAGUUUUAUUUAAUAUAGGAUCUGCUCAAUGAAUUUUAAAUAGCUGCAGUAUUUUGACUGUGCAAAGGUAGCAUAAUAAUUAGUCUUUUAAUUGAGGACUUGUAUGAAUGAUUUGAUGAGAAAUAAACUUUAUUAUUUAUAAAAUUAAAAUUUUAUUUUUAAGUAAAAAAAGCUUAAAUAUUUUAAAGGGACGAUAAGACCCUAUAAAACUUUAUAAAUAAAUAUAUUUAAUUUUAUUUGAUUAUAAGUAUUUAAAUUUAAUUAUUUAUUUUAUUGGGGUGAUAAAAAAAAAUAGAACUUUUUUUAAAUAAUAACAUUAAUUAUUGGAAUUUUGAAUUAAAAUUUUUAAUUAAAGGAAAAAGUUACUUUAGGGAUAACAGCGUAAUUAAUUUUUUAAGUUCAAAUUUAAAAAUUAGUUUGCCGACCCUCGAUGUUGAAAUUAAGAUUAAGUUUAGGUUGCAAAAUUUUAAAUAUUAGGUCUUGUUCGACCUUUAAAAUUUUACAUGAUUUGAGUUCAAACCGGUGUAAGCCAGGGUUGGUUUUCUAUCUUUUUAAAUUUUAAAUUAUUUUAGUACGAAAAGGAUUAAAUAAUUAAAUUAAAUUUUUUUUAAUGAAUAAAAUUAAUUUU